AUCAUGUGGGGAUCUUGUUAAAAUGCAAAUUUUGAUUGCGCAGGGCUGGGAUGGGUCUGAAAUUCUGCAUUUCUAACAAGCUCCCAGGUGAUGCCAU
RNAcentral lists this microRNA precursor (97 nucleotides) under Equus asinus (donkey). RNAcentral describes it as "mir-544 microRNA precursor family". It matches the Rfam family "mir-544 microRNA precursor family". Lineage: Eukaryota; Metazoa; Chordata; Mammalia; Perissodactyla; Equidae. The record is from Rfam by way of RNAcentral. RNAcentral also lists the same sequence under 1 other name.